AUGUUUACUGUGGGCUUAGACGUUGAUACGCGUGCCUACUUCACCGCAGCUACCAUGAUCAUAGUUGUGCCCACAGGAAUCAAAAUCUUUAGUUGGAUCGCUACCAUGUGGGGAGGUUCGAUACAAUACAAAACACCCAUGUUAUUUGUUGUAGGGUUCAUCUUUUUGUUCACCAUAGGAGGGCUCACUGGAAUAGUUCUAGCAAACUCUGGGCUAGACAUUGCUCUUCAUACCAGCAUAAUCAUUCUCCCAGUAUUGGAAACAUACUUUUGUAAUAACAUGAAUGUCUUUAAUCUCUGUGUACCUUCCUAUUUGCUCUGUCAGCUCAUUAGCUGCUGCAAAUAUUUCUUAGCUAUUAGAUCCUCUUUCUUCAUGGUAGAACUCCAAGACAGAUGA
This 396-nucleotide ribosomal RNA is filed under the name Triticum aestivum (bread wheat). RNAcentral describes it as "partial small subunit ribosomal RNA". The record is from RNAcentral. Lineage: Eukaryota; Viridiplantae; Streptophyta; Magnoliopsida; Poales; Poaceae.